UACAGAGGGGGCAAGCGUUAUUCGGAAUUAUUGGGCGUAAAGGGCGUGUAGGCGGCUUCGUGUGUCCCAUGUGAAAGCCCUCGGCUCAACCGGGGAACUGCAUGGGAAACUGCGGAGCUUGAGUCCGGGAGAGGAUAGUGGAAUUCCCAGUGUAGCGGUGAAAUGCGUAGAUAUUGGGAGGAACACCGGUGGCGAAGGCGGCUAUCUGGACCGGUACUGACGCUGAGACGCGAAAGCCAGGGGAGCAAACGGG
Molecule: ribosomal RNA, 253 nt
Filed under: uncultured bacterium
Lineage: Bacteria
Description: partial 16S ribosomal RNA
Rfam family: Bacterial small subunit ribosomal RNA
Source: RNAcentral